GGAUUGUAAAACUCUGUUGUUAGGGACGAAAGCACCGUGUUCGAACAGGUCAUGGUGUUGACGGUACCUAACGAGGAAGCCACGGCUAACUACGUUCCAGCAGCCGCGGUAAUACGUAGGUGGCAAGCGUUGUCCGGAAUUAUUGGGCGUAAAGAGCAUGUAGGCGGGCUUUUAAGUCUGACGUGAAAAUGCGGGGCUUAACCCCGUAUGGCGUUGGAUACUGGAAGUCUUGAGUGCAGGAGAGGAAAGGGGAAUUCCCAGUGUAGCGGUGAAAUGCGUAGAUAUUGGGAGGAACACCAGUGGCGAAGGCGCCUUUCUGGACUGUGUCUGACGCUGAGAUGCGAAAGCCAGGGUAGCAAACGGGAUUAGAUACCCCGGUAGUCCUGGCCGUAAA
RNAcentral lists this ribosomal RNA (394 nucleotides) under uncultured bacterium. RNAcentral describes it as "bacterial SSU rRNA". It matches the Rfam family "Bacterial small subunit ribosomal RNA", at positions 420 to 806 of the family's 1533-position model. The record is from RNAcentral.